CGGUAAGAGCGGCGGACGGGUGAGUAACGCGUGGGUAACCUACCCUGUACACACGGAUAACAUACCGAAAGGUAUGCUAAUACGGGAUAAUAUAUUUGAGAGGCAUCUCUUAAAUAUCAAAGGUGAGCCAGUACAGGAUGGACCCGCGUCUGAUUAGCUAGUUGGUAAGGUAACGGCUUACCAAGGCGACGAUCAGUAGCCGACCUGAGAGGGUGAUCGGCCACAUUGGAACUGAGACACGGUCCAAACUCCUACGGGAGGCAGCAGUGGGGAAUAUUGCACAAUGGGCGAAAGCCUGAUGCAGCAACGCCGCGUGAGUGAUGAAGGCCUUCGGGUCGUAAAACUCUGUCCUCAAGGAAGAUAAUGACGGUACUUGAGGAGGAAGCCCCGGCUAACUACGUGCCAGCAGCCGCGGUAAUACGUAGGGGGCUAGCGUUAUCCGGAUUUACUGGGCGUAAAGGGUGCGUAGGCGGUCUUUCAAGUCAGGAGCGAAAGGCUACGGCUCAACCGUAGUAAGCUCUUGAAACUGGGAGACUUGAGUGCAGGAGAGGAGAGUGGAAUUCCUAGUGUAGCGGUGAAAUGCGUAGAUAUUAGGAGGAACACCAGUUGCGAAGGCGGCUCUCUGGACUGUAACUGA
This 637-nucleotide ribosomal RNA is filed under the name uncultured bacterium. RNAcentral describes it as "bacterial SSU rRNA". It matches the Rfam family "Bacterial small subunit ribosomal RNA", at positions 87 to 743 of the family's 1533-position model. The record is from RNAcentral.